Molecule: transfer RNA, 76 nt
Filed under: Pseudorhodobacter sp.
Lineage: Bacteria; Pseudomonadati; Pseudomonadota; Alphaproteobacteria; Rhodobacterales; Paracoccaceae
Also listed under: 4 other names
Description: tRNA-Phe
Rfam family: tRNA
About the family: Transfer RNA (tRNA) molecules are approximately 80 nucleotides in length. Their secondary structure includes four short double-helical elements and three loops (D, anti-codon, and T loops).
Source: RNAcentral
GCCCAGAUAGCUCAGUCGGUAGAGCAGCGGAUUGAAAAUCCGCGUGUCGCUGGUUCGAUUCCGGCUCUGGGCACCA